CCCGGCGCCCACGGGAGCGUCCCGGACGAGACGCGCCGUACCCGGUCAGGAUAAGACGACGCAGC
This 65-nucleotide non-coding RNA is filed under the name Sorangium cellulosum. The record is from RNAcentral. Lineage: Bacteria; Pseudomonadati; Myxococcota; Polyangiales; Polyangiaceae.